This 72-nucleotide transfer RNA is filed under the name Hanseniaspora guilliermondii. RNAcentral describes it as "transfer RNA-Gln(TTG)". It matches the Rfam family "tRNA". Rfam says of the family: Transfer RNA (tRNA) molecules are approximately 80 nucleotides in length. Their secondary structure includes four short double-helical elements and three loops (D, anti-codon, and T loops). Further hydrogen bonds mediate the characteristic L-shaped molecular structure. tRNAs have two regions of fundamental functional importance: the anti-codon, which is responsible for specific mRNA codon recognition, and the 3' end, to which the tRNAs corresponding amino acid is attached (by aminoacyl-tRNA synthetases). tRNAs cope with the degeneracy of the genetic code in two manners: having more than one tRNA (with a specific anti-codon) for a particular amino acid; and 'wobble' base-pairing, i.e. permitting non-standard base-pairing at the 3rd anti-codon position. Lineage: Eukaryota; Fungi; Ascomycota; Saccharomycetes; Saccharomycodales; Saccharomycodaceae. The record is from RNAcentral.
UAUGAAAUAAUUUAAUUGGUAAAAUAUCUCGAUUUGGCUGAGAAUUCGAUUGUUCGAAUCAAUCUUUCAUAA